AAUAGAUACCCCGGUAGUCCACGCCGUAAACGGUGGAUACUAGCUGUUUGAGCGCAAGUUUGAGUGGCUAAGCGAAAGUGAUAAGUAUCCCACCUGGGGAGUACGGGCGCAAGCCUGAAACUCAAAGGAAUUGACGGGGGCCCGCACAAGCGGUGGAGCAUGUGGUUUAAUUCGAUGAUACGCGAGGAACCUUACCAGGGCUUAAAUGUAGAUUGACGUAUUUGGAAACAGAUAUUUCUUCGGACAAUUUACAAGGUGCUGCAUGGUUGUCGUCAGCUCGUGCCGUGAGGUGUCAGGUUAAGUCCUAUAACGAGCGCAACCCCUGUUGUUAGUUGCCAGCGAGUAAUGUCGGGAACUCUAGCAAGACUGCCAGUGUAAACUGUGAGGAAGGUGGGGAUGACGUCAAAUCAUCACGGCCCUUACGUCCUGGGCCACACACGUGCUACAAUGGCCGGUACAGAGAGCAGCCACUUAGCGAUAAGGAGCGAAUCUAUAAAGCCGGUCACAGUUCGGAUCGGAGUCUGC
RNAcentral lists this ribosomal RNA (525 nucleotides) under uncultured bacterium. Its description in RNAcentral is "bacterial SSU rRNA". It matches the Rfam family "Bacterial small subunit ribosomal RNA", at positions 777 to 1308 of the family's 1533-position model. The record is from RNAcentral.